RNAcentral lists this unclassified non-coding RNA (430 nucleotides) under soil metagenome. RNAcentral's name for it is "partial contains 5.8S ribosomal RNA, internal transcribed spacer 2, and large subunit ribosomal RNA". The stretch from base 1 to 120 matches the Rfam family "5.8S ribosomal RNA", at positions 35 to 154 of the family's 154-position model. The record is from RNAcentral.
GAUGAAGAACGUAGCGAAAUGCGAUACGUAAUGUGAAUUGCAGAAUUCAGUGAAUCAUCGAAUCUUUGAACGCAUAUUGCGCUCUCUGGUAUUCCGGAGAGCAUGCUUGUUUGAGUAUCAGUAAACACCUCAACUUCCAUAUCUUUUUUUGAAAUGGGAGUUGGACUUGAGUGAUCCCAACGCUUUCCUCACCGAAAAGUGGCGGGUUACUUGAAAUGCAGGUGCAGCUGGACUUUUCUCUGAGCUAUAAGCAUAUCUAUUUAGUCUGCCUAAAAAACAGAUUAUUACCUUUGCUGCAGCUAACAUAAAGGAGAUUAGUUCUUGUGCUGACUGAUGCAGGAUUCACAAAGACAGCUUCGGCCGACUUUGUAAACUCGAUCUCAAAUCAAGUAAGACUACCCGCUGAACUUAAGCAUAUCAAUAGCGAGGA